Molecule: transfer RNA, 77 nt
Filed under: Candidatus Bathyarchaeota archaeon
Lineage: Archaea; Thermoproteati; Candidatus Bathyarchaeota
Also listed under: 2 other names
Description: tRNA-Lys
Rfam family: tRNA
About the family: Transfer RNA (tRNA) molecules are approximately 80 nucleotides in length. Their secondary structure includes four short double-helical elements and three loops (D, anti-codon, and T loops).
Source: RNAcentral
GGGUCCGUAGCUCAGCAAGGUAGAGCGUCAGCCUCUUAAGCUGAGGGUCGAGGGUUCGAAUCCCUCCGGACCCGCCA